GCAGCAUUAGACACAUUCACGGGGGAACAUUUGGACAGAAGGAGGGGAGAGCGGUUUUGGCUUAUCACAGUUCUAAAUUAGAUCCCAUAGAACUAGGACAAGUAGGCUGCACCAGACAUUUGGCCGCAAUAGCUCGAGCGGUACAGAAGACUGCAUACUUGAAGGUGUGAAUAUGACAUCUGGAUUGCCACCUACUGAGGGUGGUCAUGACUGUGCGGAAGUAGCUAGGAAGGAGACGAAGGUGACGAACGCAGAGACAGCCGCCAGCCAAGGGAAGCAGGUUCCAGUCAUACCGCCAGGAAGCCGGGUGUGGAUUAAGGCCCAUAAACGCAAGUGGAUUGAUCCAAGGUGGUCCGGUCCAUGGGAGGUAGUAUUGGCAACCUCACACUCGGUAAAGGUGAAAGGUAAAGCGGGAGCCACUUGGCAUCAUCUCACACAUUGUGCACCUGCUAAGGCACCAAGCCAGACCCUUGCGGAGACCCGAUUAAAUACCAGGCAAGUUAAUUCAGAGCCAAAAGACACAGGAGGGAACAAAGCAGCAGAAAAUGUCUCGCCCACAGCGUAAGUAUCAGUUGGUAGUAGGGGGUUCAAGUUCAGCUCGGGGAAGUGCAGCUGUUCACACAGGUGACGAUGACAUGACGUCUGUAAGUGAUCUAUCCCAUCCCAGUCGACAAGAUGUUUCCUUACCACCUAACAUCCAAGCAGCAAUUGCUCUCACGUUGACAUUCAAGGAAAAUAUAACUGCAUCUGUUCAAUUUGAUUAUUGUGAUAUUGCAGCCUGCGGAGUCCAAGACCUCAGGUUUUGGAGGUCGGACCAAUACUUGUGUUCCACCACCAACCAAUGUGGACCAGGAGUCAGGUUUGGUAAGCCAGUGGAGCAGUACGGCUGUGACUGCGAGGAGGCAGAAUGGAAGUUCGCACACACUGGUAGAUGGAAGUCAUCCAAAACUGGUCCUAAACCUGGGCUACAGACCCGUUUAACGAUGCGGAAAAACCGGUAUCCAGAUUUGGCUAAAUGUGGGGGAGGGUUGUGCAAUCCACUAAUAAUCACAUUGAAAAAUCCAGAAUUGGGGGACAGUGGACUAUACGUGUUGAAAGGAGGGACAUACGAUAUUGAAAGCCCACAAGGGGUGUAUAAGAUUGUUGUUAAACCCUCUGCUAACAAACAGGAAUCCACUGCUGAUCAGGUUGGAGCUGAAGCUGACACUUCUUGGAAGGGUGUGGUAAGGCGGGAAACUGGAUUCUCGGAGUCUAAUCUAUGGCUCCAAUGGGUACAGUAUACUGCCACAAACAUGCACAGUACAGAUUGUAUAGUGUGUUCUCAACCUAGGCCUAUGCCCACUCCUGUACGUUCU
Gasterosteus aculeatus aculeatus (three-spined stickleback) is the source of this 1355-nucleotide long non-coding RNA. The record is from Ensembl. NCBI's taxonomy places the organism in Eukaryota, Metazoa, Chordata, Actinopteri, Perciformes, Gasterosteidae.